Molecule: ribosomal RNA, 447 nt
Filed under: uncultured bacterium
Lineage: Bacteria
Description: partial 16S ribosomal RNA
Rfam family: Bacterial small subunit ribosomal RNA
Source: RNAcentral
AACGAACGCUGGCGGCAGGCUUAACACAUGCAAGUCGUGCGCCACGCAAGGGGAGCGGCCGACGGGUGAGUAACGAGUGGGAAUCUGCCCAUCACUACGGAAUAGCUACGGGAAACUGGGAAUAAUACCGUAUAAGCCCUACGGGGGACAGAUUUAUCGGGGAAUGAUGAGCCCGCGUUGGAGUAGCUAGUUGGUGGGGUAAAAGCAUACCAAGGCGACGAGCCAUAGUUGGUCUGAGAGGAUGAUCAGCCACAUUGGGACUGAGACAUGGCCCAAAAUCCUACGGGAGGCAGCAGGGGGGAAUAUUGGACAAUGGGGGCAACCCUGAUCCAGCCAUGACGCGUGAGUGAUGAAGGCCGUAGGGUUGUAAAGCUCUUUCACCGGGGAAGAUAAUGUCGGGACCCGGAGAAGAAGCCCCGGCUAACUUCGUGCCAGCAGCCGCCGUAA